GCUGGCGGCGUGGAUAAGACAUGCAAGUCGAACGCUGAUUAGGAGGUAGCAAUAUCUUCUAGUCGGAGUGGCGAACGGGUGCGUAACACGUGGGUAAUUUGCCGUGAAGUUGGGGAUAACUCCGAGAAAUCGGAGCUAAUACCGGAUGUGACUGCCAAAGGGCAUCCUUUGACAGUUAAAGUUGGGGACCCCGUAAGGCCUGACGCUUAAUGAUAAGCCCGCGGCCUAUCAGCUAGUUGGUGAGGUAACAGCUCACCAAGGCUAAGACGGGUAGCUGGUCUGAGAGGACGACCAGCCACACUGGAACUGAGACACGGUCCAGACGCCUACGGGUGGCAGCAGUCGAGAAUCUUUCACAAUGGGCGAAAGCCUGAUGGAGCGACGCCGCGUGGGGGAUGAAGGGCUUCGGUCUGUAAACCCCUGUCAUUCGUGAACAAACCUCCGGUUUGAAUAGGAUCGGAGCUGAUAGUAGCGAAAGAGGAAGGGACGGCUAACUCCGUGCCAGCAGCCGCGGUAAUACGGAGGUCCCAAGCGUUGUUCGGAUUCACUGGGCGUAAAGGGUGCGUAGGCGGUUAGGUAAGUUCGACGUGAAAGCUCCGGGCUCAACCCGGAAAUGGCAUUGAAAACUACCUAACUUGAGGGUCGGAAGGGAGACUGGAAUUCCCGGUGUAGCAGUGAAAUGCGUAGAUAUCGGGAGGAACACCAGUGGCGAAGGCGAGUCUCUGGACGACACCUGACGCUAAGGCACGAAAGCUAGGGGAGCAAACAGGAUUAGAUACCCUGGUAGUCCUAGCCGUAAACGGUGUGCACUUGCUGUGGGCGGAUUCGACCCCGUCCGUGGCGUAGCUAACGCGAUAAGUGCACCGCCUGGGGAGUACGGUCGCAAGAUUAAAACUCAAAGAAAUUGACGGGGGCCCGCACAAGCGGUGGAGUAUGUGGCUUAAUUCGAUGCAACGCGAAGAACCUUACCUGGCCUUGACAUGCAAGUGGUAGAAACCUGAAAGGGCGACGACCUAGCAAUAGGAGCUUGCACAGGUGCUGCAUGGCUGUCGUCAGCUCGUGUCGUGAGAUGUUGGGUUAAGUCCCGCAACGAGCGCAACCCCUAUGUUCUGUUGCCACUCCCAACGAGAGUUCGGAGCACUCUGGACAGACUGCCUUGCUUAAACGAGGAGGAAGGUGGGGAUGACGUCAAGUCAGUAUGGCCCUUACGGCCAGGGCUGCACACGUACUACAAUGCCCGGCAC
This 1244-nucleotide ribosomal RNA is filed under the name uncultured prokaryote. Its description in RNAcentral is "partial 16S ribosomal RNA". It matches the Rfam family "Bacterial small subunit ribosomal RNA", at positions 35 to 1240 of the family's 1533-position model. The record is from RNAcentral.